This 507-nucleotide long non-coding RNA is filed under the name Homo sapiens (human). RNAcentral describes it as "non-protein coding LINC02529:5". Lineage: Eukaryota; Metazoa; Chordata; Mammalia; Primates; Hominidae. The record is from RNAcentral.
GAAUCCUUGUGAUUUACCUAACUGGAUAUUAGGGACUGCAAAGCAGAAAAUAAGAUAAUUAUGAUAUGCUGGUGUUGCAUCUCACCUGCGUUUAAUCUGAUCACUAACUUUAGAACCGAAGCCCUUCCCCUACCAGAAACUAUAACUCUACAAAACCAUUGCCAAGGGAUGAGAAUGAUACCAUUCAGCGGAACUACAAACAAGAAAGUCAAACUGGAAAACCAGAAAACAGAUGGCUAAACUCUUUUCUAAACUUUUCCAAGAGCAGUGUUUAUGCAGGUUUCCAUUGGAAGGAGAAGACUGUCUUUAGCCCACUGCAUCCCCUCAAGCCAUCCCAAGCUUUCUCUGUGCCAGGGACUGGACGCACGCUAAAAUACGAACCUGUGUGGACUUCUUUCUUAGGAGCCUUUGCACCAGCACAAGAAAGAGACAGAGACAGUGAUGGCGAGACUCAAGCACGCAUAUCUUGAUGGACUCCAAAAUGCUCUUCCUAAUUCCUUCUCUGUG